This 430-nucleotide ribosomal RNA is filed under the name uncultured soil bacterium. RNAcentral's name for it is "bacterial SSU rRNA". It matches the Rfam family "Bacterial small subunit ribosomal RNA", at positions 50 to 526 of the family's 1533-position model. The record is from RNAcentral.
AACACAUGCAAGUCGAACGAACCCUUCGGGGUUAGUGGCGCACGGGUGCGUAACGCGUGGGAAUCUGCCCUUUGCUUCGGAAUAACUCAGGGAAACUUGUGCUAAUACCGGAUGAUGUCUUCGGACCAAAGAUUUAUCGGCAAGGGAUGAGCCCGCGUAGGAUUAGGUAGUUGGUGAGGUAAAGGCUCACCAAGCCGACGAUCUUUAGCUGGUCUGAGAGGAUGAUCAGCCACACUGGGACUGAGACACGGCCCAGACUCCUACCGGAGGCAGCAGUGGGGAAUAUUAGACAAUGGGCGAAAGCCUGAUCCAGCAAUGCCGCGUGAGUGAUGAAGGCCUUAGGGUUGUAAAGCUCUUUUACCCGGGAUGAUAAUGACAGUACCGGGAGAAUAAGCUCCGGCUAACUCCGUGCCAGCAGCCGCGGUAAUAC